UUUCCGUAGGUGAACCUGCAGAAGGAUCAUUGUCGAGACCUGCAAAGCAGACCACGAACACGUGUUUAACCACAUCGGGCCCGCAGCGCAGGGAAAAACCUCCCGUAGUAAUCCCAUCCCUGUCGACGUGUGCGAGAACGCUCCGUCGUAUGGGCUAACAAACCCUGGUGCGGUAUGCGCCAAGGAAAACAAAACAUAGCGUCAUAGGAGUCUAUCGAAUGUCAAAAUGACUCUCGGAAAUGGAUAUCUCGCCUCUCGCAUCGAUGAAGAACGCAGC
This 277-nucleotide unclassified non-coding RNA is filed under the name uncultured fungus. RNAcentral's name for it is "sequence contains ITS1, 5.8S rRNA gene". The stretch from base 229 to 277 matches the Rfam family "5.8S ribosomal RNA", at positions 1 to 49 of the family's 154-position model. The record is from RNAcentral. Lineage: Eukaryota; Fungi.